This 459-nucleotide ribosomal RNA is filed under the name uncultured bacterium. Its description in RNAcentral is "partial 16S ribosomal RNA". It matches the Rfam family "Bacterial small subunit ribosomal RNA", at positions 338 to 795 of the family's 1533-position model. The record is from RNAcentral.
CCUACGGGAGGCAGCAGUGAGGAAUAUUGGUCAAUGGGCGGAAGCCUGAACCAGCCAAGUAGCGUGCGGGAUGAAGGCCCUACGGGUCGUAAACCGCUUUUGCACGGGGAUAACACCCUCCAAUUGUGGAGUUCUGCAGGUACCGUGCGAAUAAGGGCCGGCUAAUUCCGGGCCAGCAGCCGCGGUAAUACGGAAGGCCCGAGCGUUAUCCGGAUUCAUUGGGCUUAAAGGGAGCGUAGGCGGGCGUUCAAGUCAGCUGUAAAAUCGCGCGGCGCAACCGCGCCCCGCAGUUGAAACUGGACGCCUUGAGUGCACAACAGGCAGGAGGAAUUCGUGGUGGAGCGGUGCAAUGCAUAGAUAUCACGAGGAACCCCGAUUGCGAAGGCAGCCUGCCGGGGUGCGACUGACGCUGAGGCUCGAAGGUGCGGGUAUCAAACAGGAUUAGAUACCCUGGUAGUC